Molecule: long non-coding RNA, 642 nt
Organism: Liolophura sinensis
Lineage: Eukaryota; Metazoa; Mollusca; Polyplacophora; Chitonida; Chitonidae
Exons: 3
Source: RefSeq, a predicted model, not a curated record
AACUGCCCAAUCCUGAGAACGGGCGUCGCAUUGGUGACAGUUAUCAGGUUAAUGACACGGUAUCCUUUGAAUGUAAUGUGGGUUACACUUUGCAUGGCUCUGAACAACGAACCUGCCAGCCCAACAAGGUAUGGGAUGGAGAAACAUCGUAUUGUUAUGGUUAAAAGAAACACUUACCAGACCGUGGAAAAGGGAAACCCACACACAUUCCACAAUGACUCAUGCUACAGAGAACAGCAGGCCUAUACCUGAGCAUUGCGAUUGGGUGUAUAUUUGUUCACAGGAGUGGAACCAGUUGUUUGGCAUUCCCAUGUGGUUGAUACCUAAGAUUCAUCGCAGGCUAGGCAUUGCCUCUACUUGCCCAUCUUUCACACCAGCCAAUCAGAAUUGAUUCUGUAUCCCUUUUCAGUGUCCUAACUGGUAUAUAGACAUAGAUAUUGAUAAAUAGAUAUCUAUAUCAGAAAGGAUUUCAUUUACAUAUUUGUCAGAACAAGCAGACGUUGACUUCAACUACAUAAAAGCCUUCAGAAUAAAUUAUGGACUGAAUAGGAUGCGAUAUGCGGCGUCACCUAUCAUAUCAGAUUUAUUAAAUGAGUGGUACAAUUCAAUUGUUUGCAGUCUCUCUAGCUUUAAACAAACGAA